AAAGCAGCCAUGAUAGGGGAAGCAAAGGAAGAGGAGGAAGAGGGAAGGGUACCUGUAGCUUUAGAACCAACCAAUAUACCAGGGAGGCUUCUGCUGGGUCGCCAUGCACUAUGAGGCAGAGAACGGGAUGCAGCCAAGGAUGACUUGCCGGCUCCUGGAAUUUGGGCGUCUCAUCAGCUUUACUGAGGCUUAGAGAGUUAGCCGGCAAGUCUGUCCUUGGCUACACCUAGUUCUCUUCCUCUCGUGUGUGGCCCUCAAGCACUUCAAGAGCUCCAAGAUUUGCAUUCAUGUCAGCUCGACUAAGGAAUUAUAAGGACAAGUAUAUAUAACUACUUAAUUGUGUCGCCUCAUGAUGCAAACCAAAAGGCCAAGGGAAGUACAACAGACACUACACAUCAGGACUCAAGGUUCCCGCUCAGCAGCAACAAAUGUACUUAAAAUUGUGCUAGCACUAGUAUGCAGAAGAAAACAUGUUGUUAUGAGCGUGGUGGAAUUGAGAGGAUUGUGGAGGAAGAAGGGGUGGUUGCUGCCGCGCUACAGUACCCGCGGGCUACAGGACCGCGCGGGUACUGUUCACGAGGCGGCGGCUGCGAGGGUGAGAGAGCGGCGUCUAGGGUUGGGGUUGCUGGGAACGCCGGCCGCGGGGCUUCGCCCACGGCCGGCAAGAGAGAAGAGAUUUCCUUCUAAUCUCUUGCUUGAUUAGAUUGAUACAUCUCCUCUCCUUA
Molecule: long non-coding RNA, 725 nt
Organism: Panicum virgatum (switchgrass)
Lineage: Eukaryota; Viridiplantae; Streptophyta; Magnoliopsida; Poales; Poaceae
Exons: 2
Source: RefSeq, a predicted model, not a curated record